This 524-nucleotide ribosomal RNA is filed under the name uncultured bacterium. Its description in RNAcentral is "bacterial SSU rRNA". It matches the Rfam family "Bacterial small subunit ribosomal RNA", at positions 774 to 1294 of the family's 1533-position model. The record is from RNAcentral.
AGUGAAUAGAUACCCUGGUAGUCCACGCCCUAAACGAUGUCGACUGGUUGUUGGGGGUUUGACACUCUCAGUAAACGAAAGCUAAACGCGUGAAGUCGACCGCCUGGGGAGUACGGCCGCAAGGUUAAAACUCAAAGGAAUUGACGGGGACCCGCACAAGCGGUGGAUUAUGUGGAUUAAUUCGAUGCAACGCGAAAAACCUUACCUACCCUUGACAUGUCCUGGACCCUGCUGAGAGGCGGGGGUGCCCGAAAGGGAACGGGAACACAGGUGCUGCAUGGCUGUCGUCAGCUCGUGUCGUGAGAUGUUGGGUUAAGUCCCGCAACGAGCGCAACCCUUGUCAUUAGUUGCUACAUUCAGUUGGGCACUCUAAUGAGACUGCCGGUGACAAACCGGAGGAAGGUGGGGAUGGCGUCAAGUCCUCAUGGCCCUUAUGGGUAGGGCUUCACACGUAAUACAAUGGCGCGUACAGAGGGUUGCCAAGCCGCGAGGUGGAGCCAAUCCCACAAAGCGCGUCGUAGUCC